Carlito syrichta (Philippine tarsier) is the source of this 1902-nucleotide RNA transcript. It is a transcript of the gene named arginine and serine rich protein 1, with no coding region annotated. The transcript has 5 exons. The record is from RefSeq and is a predicted model, not a curated record. NCBI's taxonomy places the organism in Eukaryota, Metazoa, Chordata, Mammalia, Primates, Tarsiidae.
GGUGAGGAUUCGCUCUUCCAGAGAAGGCGCGAAAAGCCCCCUCCUCUUCGUCCUAAGCUUCGGCGGGAAAGCAUCCGUUGAUCUUUUCUCUCCGUCUUGAGGGAGGCGUCGGCGGCUUGCGGCAGUCUUGAGUUUCCGGGAAGGACUCUUUCUGAGGAAAGGCUAACGCCGCAGGCGGAGAUGUCCAACUACGUGAACGACUUGUGGCCGGGCUCGCCGCAGAAGGACUCGCCCUCGACGUCCGGCUCGGGCCGUUCCAGCCGCCUGUCGUCGUGGUCUAGGAGCCGCUCUUCUUCCAGGAGCUCUCGGCCAUAUCCCCGCUUCUCCAGCCGGUCCUCGUCUAGGAGCCGCAGCCGGCACCGGAGGAGCAGGUCCAGGUCUCGUUCCAGACGGCGCCACCAGCGGAAGUACAGGCGCUACUCGCGGUCCUAUUCGCGGAGCCGGUCGCCGCCCCGCAGCCGCCGCUACCGGGAGAGGCGCUCUGGGUCGUCCCGGAGGUACUACCGGUCGCGUAGCAGGUCGCGCUCUCGGGGACGGUGGCACUCCCGAAGGGCCUCCGCGAUCACGCGGGUGCGGCGCUUCCACGGCUUCGGUCGCACGGUGUACCCGGGGGAACACAGCCGGUGGAGGGUCAGAUCCAGGACCAGGUCGCGCAGCAAAACCCCCUUUCGCUUGAGUGAAAAAGAUCGAAUGGAGCUGUUAGAGAUAGCAAAAGCCAACGCAGCGAAAGCUUUGGGAACAACCAAGAUUGACUUGCCAGCUAGUCUCAGAACUGUUCCUGCAGCUAAAGAAACAAGCCAUAGAACAGCUGUACCAAAUAACGGUGCAGAAUCUGAAAAAUCAUGAAUGGGGUCUCCAGACAUUGAUGAAGAAAAUCUGUUGGUAAUUGAUACAUGGGCUAAAGCAUCAGAAGUUUAAUGUGAAGUUUACUUUCAUACACUGAAAGCUUAGUUUUUUCGUUGGUACAUACAUGUGCAUGCUAGAAUUUGGGGCAGGUACUAUUUUCUUAAGGUACUUAAGGUACUAAAAACAAUUUUUAAGUUAAGCAAAGGUACACUUUGUAAUGGUGGGGCAUCUGUGAUAUAGAUGUCCUUUUUAUAAUAUAUGCAAUAUAUUCCAGAUGUUUUGAGAGAUUACAGAAGAGGAGGCCUGCUUCACUUGCAGAUAAGUUUGUUACAAUUCUCCAGAAAUUUGCAGGAUGUGCAUUCUCAAAUUACACCAUACUUUUAGAUUACAGAGAUGCCAUAUUUAAGUGAAACUAUCAUUGGGACCCAGAUACGGGUUUGUUUACUGUCAGUAGACAAGUAAGAUCUUCAUUGAAUUGUUAAGAUGAUUAGGUGCCCAGUUGGCAAAUGCCUUAGUUCUUUGAAACUAGAUAUUUUCUGGUAUGACUUCACUUUCAAAGUUAUUUGAAUUUGAGGCAUGGGAAUAAAAUAAUUAUGAGAAGAGUGUCUUAAGCUCAUAUUGCACCAAUUUUGUAAGGGGGAAAAGUCAACAGUUCCAUGUUACUUAGGCUAUUAACUAUAUGGUUAGAUCCAAUUUGAUUUGUGUGUCUACAACUAAGUUUGUGUAUAAUUAUACUGCAUUUUAUAUAGUCCGUAAAAUAAGCCUGGGGUAUUUUUUUUUAAUUAUACUUUUACUUGUCUGUCUAGCUGUUGGGAAAGCUAACAGAAGAUGGAACUAAAAAUCCCAGUGACAAAUCUUCCCAGCAAAAAAGCAUAGCAUUUAGCUCUAACAAUUCUGUAGCAAAGCCAAUACAGAAAUCAGCUAAAGCUGCUGCGGAAGGGACAUCUUCAGGACCAUUAAAAAUAGAUCUGAAAAAAAGUCCAUAUGGACUGUGGAUACCUAUCUAAAAGAAGAAACCUAAUAGCUAAGUUUGCAUGAAACUGCACUUUAUUGCAA